Xenia sp. Carnegie-2017 is the source of this 466-nucleotide long non-coding RNA. RefSeq lists it as uncharacterized. NCBI's taxonomy places the organism in Eukaryota, Metazoa, Cnidaria, Anthozoa, Malacalcyonacea, Xeniidae. The transcript is spliced from 2 exons. The record is from RefSeq and is a predicted model, not a curated record.
GAGUAGUUUUAUGCUUGAAGACUACAUUGGACAGUUUUUUAAUAAUUAUUGUUGUUCAAAUAGAAAUAAAAUAAUUUGUAGACUGAGGCUUAGUUAGAAGAAAAUACAGCUAGAGGGGUUGGGAGAGCAUUCUAAUAUAACAGUAAAGGGAUGAUUUUACCUCCUAGGGAUUACAAUAUUUAUCAUCUGGUACAGCCUGGGUGUACAUAGGGUGUCAAAUUAGAUCACUGCGAGAAUUCUUUUAUCAUGUUUAGGAGAACUGAAGUUAAAAGAAGUUUUGACAUAUGUUUUACAAUGGAUGUCUUUUUGGGGAUAAAAAUAAAAGCAAGUACUGCCCACACAUCCCAUCACUUUUAUAUGGGAAUUUUCCUUUCCCCCAGGAAAACAACAUUAAAUGAUGUACCAUAUUUCCAUGUCUUUUAAAUACCAUGUUAUCCUUGUGUUUAUUAAUAAAAAUGCAAAUAUA